GUGAGGAAUAUUGGGCAAUGGGCGAAAGCCUGACCCAGCCACGCCGCGUGAGUGAUGAAGGCCUUCGGGUUGUAAAGCUCUGUGGGGAGGGAAGAAAAAGCGGGAGAGUAACUGCUCUCGUGUUGACGGUACCUCCUUAGCAAGCACCGGCUAACUCUGUGCCAGCAGCCGCGGUAAUACAGAGGGUGCAAACGUUGCUCGGAAUUACUGGGCGUAAAGCGCGUGUAGGCUGACAUGCAAGUCGGGUGUGAAAUCCCAGGGCUCAACCUUGGAACUGCACUCGAAACUGCACGUCUUGAGUACUGGAGAGGGAAGCGGAAUUCCGGGUGUAGAGGUGAAAUUCGUAGAUAUCCGGAGGAACACCAGUGGCGAAGGCGGCUUCCUGGACAGUAACUGACGCUGAGACGCGAAAGCGUGGGGAGCAAACAGGAUUAGAAACCCUAGUAGUCC
RNAcentral lists this ribosomal RNA (450 nucleotides) under uncultured bacterium. RNAcentral's name for it is "bacterial SSU rRNA". It matches the Rfam family "Bacterial small subunit ribosomal RNA", at positions 354 to 796 of the family's 1533-position model. The record is from RNAcentral.